Long non-coding RNA from Ostrinia nubilalis (European corn borer), 307 nucleotides. RefSeq lists it as uncharacterized. NCBI's taxonomy places the organism in Eukaryota, Metazoa, Arthropoda, Insecta, Lepidoptera, Crambidae. The record is from RefSeq and is a predicted model, not a curated record. The transcript has 3 exons.
GCCCGUGUCUCACCCCCACAACAACCCUCAUAUUAAACCUCUCAACCCACCUUUUCAGAAAACCAGUGAUAACAAACGAAGAACACACGUCACGCGGCCGGAUUUCAAACGCCGAAAGUCAUCGAUAGGAUACGCGACACAGAACUACCAUUUUACAGAUAAGAAGUGUCGCCGCCGACUCGUAGUCUCGUACCGAAGAACCGAAAAGAUGACGCCGCAUCCGAUGGCUCCAAAACCCGAAGUCUCCGUUCAUGUGUACUACCCACUGAAAAGAAAGUUUUAGUAUGCCAAAGUCUGGACAAUCAUC